AUAUUAUCAUGGAUUGGAAAAGAGUUGAGCAUGACAAGUGCGAGAGUGGCCACUUCAAAAGCCAAAUGCCACAAACCAACCACCAUAUUUUUUAAAAUUCACAAUUUUUCUUUAUUUGGAAAAGAGAUGAAAUAAUUGUUUUCAGAUAAAAGAUGCAAUUUCACACUUCUUUCAAUGCAAGAAGCAUGGUUACAACAUUUGAAACUGGAUCUCAGUCAUGAUAAACUUUAUUAUUUGCAAGGUAUAUUAAGAUCCAGUGACACAUAAAUUUUUUCAGUACAAACUGGGGCAAAAAUUUUAUUUGUGUUGUAUGGAAUUUAUUUUAUGUUCAGGACCCUCCUGAAGAAUGGGACAGGACCCUCCUGAAGAAUGGGACAGGACCUUCCUGAAGAAUGGGAAUUUAUUUUUAUGCUCAGGACCCUCCUGAAGAAUGAAAAUUUAUUUUUAUGCUCAGGAUCCUCCUGAAAAUGAGAAUUUAUUUUAUUUUCAAGACCCUCCUGAAGAAUGUGACAGGACCCUCCUGAAGAAUGGGACAGGACCCUCCUGAAGAAUGAGAAUUUAUUUUUAUGCUCAGGACCCUCCUGAAGAAUGGAAAUUUAUUUUAUAUCCAGGACCCUCCUGAAGAAUGGGAUGUUAUUUUUCUAUUUCACUAUUUGCUUUGAGUCCAGGAGCUCGCCUGAAGAACAGGGUGAAGAAAUUGCAAGUCCAGGAGCCCACCUGAAGAACAGGGUGAAGAAAUAGCCCUCCUGAAGAACAGGGUGAAGAAAUGAG
Molecule: long non-coding RNA, 771 nt
Filed under: Capsicum annuum
Lineage: Eukaryota; Viridiplantae; Streptophyta; Magnoliopsida; Solanales; Solanaceae
Description: long non-coding RNA (CANN_LNC001098)
Source: RNAcentral